AAUGAACGCUGGCGGCAUGCCUAACACAUGCAAGUCGAGCGGAAGCACGAGAAGCCCUCUCCUCUGAUGUUAGCGGCGGACGGAAGAGUAACAAAUGGAUCACCUACCUAUAAGUCAGGGAUAACUACGUGAAACCGGAGCUCAUACCGGCUAAUAUUUUGAACCGCAUGGUGCAAGAGUGAAUGACGGUCUUGCUGUCACUUAUAGAUGGAUCCGCACUGGAUUAGCUAGUUGGUCAGGUAACGGCUUACCAAGGCAACGAUGCGUAGCCGACCUGAGAGGGUGAUCGGCCACACUGGAACUGAGACACGGUCCAGACUCCUACGGGAGGCAGCAGUGGGGAAUUUUCGGCAAUGGGCGAAAGCCUGACGCAGCAAUGCCGCGUGAGUGAAGAAGGUCUUCGGAUCGUAAAACUCUGUUGUUAGGGAAGAAAAUGUAGGUGAGUAACUCUGCACAUCUUGACGGUACCUAAUCAAAAAGCCACGGCUAACUACGUG
RNAcentral lists this ribosomal RNA (497 nucleotides) under uncultured bacterium. Its description in RNAcentral is "partial 16S ribosomal RNA". It matches the Rfam family "Bacterial small subunit ribosomal RNA", at positions 29 to 507 of the family's 1533-position model. The record is from RNAcentral.